UAGAGUGUAGCUCAUUGGUAGAGCACUUGUCUAGCAUGUCUGAGGCCCUGAGUUCCAUUCCCAGCACUGCAA
RNAcentral lists this transfer RNA (72 nucleotides) under Cricetulus griseus (Chinese hamster). It matches the Rfam family "tRNA". From Rfam's summary of the family: Transfer RNA (tRNA) molecules are approximately 80 nucleotides in length. Their secondary structure includes four short double-helical elements and three loops (D, anti-codon, and T loops). Further hydrogen bonds mediate the characteristic L-shaped molecular structure. tRNAs have two regions of fundamental functional importance: the anti-codon, which is responsible for specific mRNA codon recognition, and the 3' end, to which the tRNAs corresponding amino acid is attached (by aminoacyl-tRNA synthetases). tRNAs cope with the degeneracy of the genetic code in two manners: having more than one tRNA (with a specific anti-codon) for a particular amino acid; and 'wobble' base-pairing, i.e. permitting non-standard base-pairing at the 3rd anti-codon position. Lineage: Eukaryota; Metazoa; Chordata; Mammalia; Rodentia; Cricetidae. The record is from Rfam by way of RNAcentral.